Molecule: ribosomal RNA, 253 nt
Filed under: uncultured bacterium
Lineage: Bacteria
Description: partial 16S ribosomal RNA
Rfam family: Bacterial small subunit ribosomal RNA
Source: RNAcentral
UACGUAGGUGGCAAGCGUUGUCCGGAUUUAUUGGGUUUAAAGGGUGCGUAGGCGGCCUAUUAAGUCAGUGCUGAAAUAUCCCGGCUUAACCGGGAGGGUGGCAUUGAUACUGAUGGGCUUGAGUAGAGUUGAGGUUGGCGGAAUUGACGGUGUAGCGGUGAAAUGCUUAGAUAUCGUCAAGAACACCGAUAGUGCAGACAGCUAACUAAGCUCAAACUGACGCUGAGGCACGAAAGUGUGGGGAUCAAACAGG